ACGCUAGCGGCAGGCUUAUACAUGCAAGUCGUACGGUAAGGUCUCUUCGGAGAUACACGAGUGGCGCACGGGUGCGUAACGCGUAUGCAANCUGCCCAUAACUGGAGAAUAGCUCCCGGAAACGGAAAUUAAUACUCCAUAAUAUUACACAUUCGCAUGUUUGUGUGAUUAAAGCUUCGGCGGUUAUGGAUGGGCAUGCGUGACAUUAGCUAGUUGGUGAGGUAACGGCUCACCAAGGCAACGAUGUCUAGGGGUCCUGAGAGGGUUCACCCCCACACUGGUACUGAGACACGGACCAGACUCCUACGGGAGGCAGCAGUAAGGAAUAUUGGUCAAUGGGCGAAAGCCUGAACCAGCCAUGCCGCGUGCAGGAUGACAGCCCUACGGGUUGUAAACUGCUUUUCUGCAGGACAAAACUCCUCAACGUGUUGGGGACUGAUGGUACUGCAGGAAUAAGCAUCGGCUAACUCCGUGCCAGCAGCCGCGGUAAUACGGAGGAUGCAAGCGUUAUCCGGAUUUAUUGGGUUUAGAGGGUACGUAGGCGGAUUUGCAAGUCAGUGGUGAAAUCUCCCCGCUUAACGGGGAAACUGCCAUUGAUACUGUUAAUCUUGAGUAACAUGUGAAGUGGGCGGAAUACGGUAUGUAGCGGUGAAAUGCAUAGAUAUGCCGUAGAACACCGAUUGCGAAGGCAGCUCACUAAAUUGUCACUGACGCUGAGGUACGAAAGCGUGGGGAUCAAACAGGAUUAGAUACCCUGGUAGUCCACGCUGUAAACGAUGAUCACUCGCUGUUGGCGAUACACUGUCAGCGGCUGAGCGAAAGCAUUAAGUGAUCCACCUGGGGAUUACGAUCGCAAGAUUGAAACUCAAAGGAAUUGACGGGGGCCCGCACAAGCGGUGGAGCAUGUGGUUUAAUUCGAUGAUACGCGAGGAACCUUACCUGGGCUUAAAUGCUUAACGACCGUUGCCGAAAGGUGACUUUCCUUCGGGACGUUUUGCAAGGUGCUGCAUGGUUGUCGUCAGCUCGUGCCGUGAGGUGUCGGGUUAAGUCCCAUAACGAGCGCAACCCCUAUUCUUAGUUGCCAUCAGGUAAAGCUGGGGACUCUAAGGAAACUGCCUACGCAAGUAGUGAGGAAGGUGGGGAUGACGUCAAAUCAGCACGGCCCUUAUGUCCAGGGCUACACACGUGCUACAAUGGCCGGCACAGAGGGUAACUACUACGCGAGUAGAUGUUAAUCUCGAAAUCCGGUCUCAGUUCGGAUCGAAGUCUGCAACUCGACUUCGUGAAGCUGGAAUCGCUAGUAAUCGCGCAUCAGCCACGGCGCGGUGAUACGUUCCCGGGCCUUGUACACACCGCCCGUCAAGCCAUGAAGCUUGGGUACCUGAAGUC
RNAcentral lists this ribosomal RNA (1389 nucleotides) under uncultured organism. RNAcentral describes it as "bacterial SSU rRNA". It matches the Rfam family "Bacterial small subunit ribosomal RNA". The record is from RNAcentral.